CACGUAGGGGGCAAGCGUUGUCCGGAUUUAUUGGGCGUAAAGAGCUCGUAGGCGGCUUAGUAAGUCGGGUGUGAAACCUCCAGGCUCAACCUGGAGACGCCACCCGAUACUGCUGUGGCUAGAGUCCGGUAGGGGAGCGUGGAAUUCCUGGUGUAGCGGUGAAAUGCGUAGAUAUCGAGAGGAACACCUGCGGCGAAGGCGGGUUGCUGGGCUGACACUGACGCUGACAGCGCGAAAGCUAGGGGAGCGAACGGG
Molecule: ribosomal RNA, 255 nt
Filed under: uncultured bacterium
Lineage: Bacteria
Description: partial 16S ribosomal RNA
Rfam family: Bacterial small subunit ribosomal RNA
Source: RNAcentral